Ursus thibetanus thibetanus is the source of this 3189-nucleotide long non-coding RNA. The record is from Ensembl. NCBI's taxonomy places the organism in Eukaryota, Metazoa, Chordata, Mammalia, Carnivora, Ursidae.
CCAAUGGGGUUGGCGGGAGACGGCACAGCGGAAGGGGUGGAGCUUCAGUUAGGGACCGGAAGAGAGGGCCUCUGGGGGAGGGGGGGAAAGAGAACGGAAGAGGGGGCGGGCUCUCGGGGGGGGGGGGGAAGGACCGCGAGAAGGGGCGGGCCCUCGGGGGAGGGACCGGAAGAGGGGGUGAGCUUUUGAGGGAAGGACCGGAAGAGGGUGUGGCCUUCGGGGAGGGGCCGGAAAAGGCGGGCGGGCCGUAGAGGAGGGUCCGGAAGAAGAGGAGGAGGAAGGAGGUGGGAGCACGGGGGAGGUACCUAUGGGAGAAAAGGGCAGGAGGGAGGCGUGGUUCCGGGUCUUGCAAACUCUUGCACUGCCCGCCGCUUUUCCUCAGUGUCUUCCAAAAACUGGAGGUGGUGAAGUUUCCUUCCGUCCAUCUUACAAAUGAGGAAACUAAGCUCCUCGAAGGCGGAGUGCUGGUUGGGGGCAAAAGACCCUGACUGGACGUAAAGAGGACGCUCUGUGGCCCUUGUCUGUCACACACAACUGUACGACCUCGUGGUAUCGGGAAACAGCUCAUGCCCAGGAUGGAGGAAAGAAGACGGGAAGAGGGCCUCCAUACUGUUCAGGUUCCAGCCAAAGGAGUUAGCAGGCUACUUGUGGUUUUCCGGAGGCAAAGACUGCCGUCAGACUCCCGAGUUUCCACCAGUUCAUUUCAGGCAACCGCAGAACAAAUGGGUGUAACCACAACUUGGACAAAGGAAGAAAAAGGAAAGAAAUGCCUCCACAAACGUGAUAGAACUACUCUUGACAUUUUGUGAUAUGUCCUUUCCAGAGUCUCCCCCGUCUGUGGCUUUCUAGUUUUAUAUAGUUAUAAGUAGUUCACAACUACAGUCUCAUGGCCUGCCGCUUUUCGCUUGGCUUUGUCACACAUGUAUUUUUAUGGCAUGGUCUUUCACCAUCUCUGAGGUUUUGAGAGCUGUGUAUUUUAUUGGGUGAAUGUCCCAUCGUUCGCUUAAAUAUUCUUUUUUUUCUCAUUAACUCCAAUCAGUUGUGUAAUAAAGAUAUUUAUUAUUUAUUUUCUUGUGUUUUAUUCUGCUGUCAUUAUUUUUACCCAUGCUGUUUGCCUUUUAAUUUUUAUCCUUUUCUUUAAAUGGUCACAUUAGUCACAUUAGUUAAGUAUGGGCGGGGUGGUGUGGCGGGGGAGCGCCUGGUCAGUGGAGAGCAUGACACUUGAUUUCAGAGUUGGGAGUUUGAGCCCCAUGCUGGGUGUAGAGAUUAGUUAAAAAAAAGAAGAAGAAGAAAGAAGAAAGAAGAAGAAGAAGAAAUUUCACCUGAAACUGAUGUUACACUGUAUGUUAAGUAACUGGAAUUUAAAUAAAUUAAAAAAAAUUAAGUAUGGACUGGAAAUGUUAAACAUUUUCCUCUGGGGAAUUACCCCAUUGCUUCUGAAGUUGGACUGUCCUUUCUUUUAUUCUAACACCCCCUCAUCACCUCCAGUUUCUAUAUGGCUCUUAAAAAUUGCUCUGGAAUUGGGGCGGCUGGGUGGCUCAGUUGGUUAAGCGUCUGCCUUUGGCUCAGGUCAUGAUCCCGGGGUCCUGGGACCCAGCCCCGCAGGGAGCUCUCUGCUCGGUGGGGAGCCUGCUUCCCCUCUCCCUCUGUCUGCUGCUCUGCCUACUUGUGCUCUAUCAAAUGAAUAAAUAAAAUCUUUUUAAAAAAUUGCUCUGGAAUUAAUUCUCAAGUAUAGUAUGAAAUAGGGAUUUGAAACGAGAUUUAUUUUCUUUUCCAAAUUACUGACCAGUCUUACAAGGAGGAUACCAGGGACGGCAUCUCUAAUCAGCUGAACCAUGAAGCCACGUCUUAUGAAACACGAACAAGGCUGGCUGAAGUUUGGUGGAAUUAACAGUUUGGCAGAUGACGGGAGAAGCAGCAGAUGUCACAUCGUUAGGCGCCCCUGAAUUAUUUGUUGCAGCACCUUGAACUUUGAUUGGCACAAGGUGCUCAGCUACCUUCAGUGGCUGGUGAGGUGUGAUGUGUGAGUCAGGGUUUGACAUUAUGGGAACAGUCCUAGUGAAAAGAUUUUUUAAAAAGGUCUGGGAAAAGGAGGGGGGCACUGACGGGGCCCAAAUCUGGUUUACGUAUCAUCUGUAAGAAAUAUGGUGAAUCCAACACUCUGGGAUUAGGAAGAAAUCUUUAGAGGUUUCUGCCCUCAGGCAAGCUAUGCCAAGUGUUGUCACAGGGUAAGCACCUCCCCGACAGGCUCGGGCUGCCAGGUGUCACUGUUCUAACUGCGCAAGACUGGAGCGAGACGCAUUUGCAGACAGGAAGUGCGCCUGGUGGUUGAGGCCAAGAGGAUGUUUCCAGAAAAGGGCCGUGGAUCCAGAAAGCCUGUGUUCCUUGAAUUCUGAGUGGAUACAGGGACCCAUAAGAACCGAUGAAAAAGCAAUCAUCUACGGUCCUGGGCUUUGAAAAAAUCACCCUGAUUAUUUCCUGUACAAAUGCUUUCUAUGGCCUACUCCUACCUGAGACGAAAGUGCCUGAUGGGAGUGUAGGCAGGGGGCAGAGUCCUGGUGAGGAAGAGUGAGAACAGCCAGGGCAACCAGAAAGUAAAGGCAUGGUCGUUAUCACACAAAUGCAGUUAGAAAUGGCUCCCUGCACACGCUGAGCCAGGCUCUCCGUACAAACAGCGGGUGAAUCUCCUCAGACAGAAUCCUCACUGCACGCAUGAUGACAGGUUCACAGGCCUUGCUCAGGCAGACCAGAGGCAAGGUGUUGUUCAGGAUUUCAGAGGCCAGGGGUGGGCCAGGGGGAAGGUGUCGAGGAGGAGAGAGGAGAAACAGACGUUGAAGAUACAAGUCAGGGAGUGCAGUCUUGGGGCGGGCACCAGUCUGAGUCCUGCCACUCAGGCAGAAACCCGUGUAGAUAAGGUGGCUUUGCAGGAGCUGUCCCGUCUCUGCCUGGUGACAGCAGGCAGGCCUAAAAUGAUAAAGCUGGGCCGGCCCCCCUGCGUUCUGGAAACAGAGGUGGGGGUGGGGCGAGGCAGAGUGGUGAGGUGGGCAGAGUGGCACAGGCCUCAGGGGAUCCAGACAGGGAUGCCUGGAGGGACCCUGGGAGUCACCUAAGCUCUCUGAGCUGAUGUCUUCAUAGGGGCGACAGUCCCACCCGCCCCAGAUGGUUGAGGCUAUUAGAGCUUCGGUUUAA